Passer domesticus (house sparrow) is the source of this 593-nucleotide long non-coding RNA. RefSeq lists it as uncharacterized. The transcript is spliced from 3 exons. Lineage: Eukaryota; Metazoa; Chordata; Aves; Passeriformes; Passeridae. The record is from RefSeq and is a predicted model, not a curated record.
AUGAAGAAGGUCACAAAGACCACUGUGAGACAGCAGCAGCAGCAGGUGCAGCACAGCUAUUUAUUAAUGUCUGCAGGAGAACAAGAUUUAACCCUCAGGCCCAGCAAGAGCAGACCAGAUAGCAACAGGGAUUGAUUCACCACACGGAUGAUGCCAGCACAGAAGAAGCUGCCAGAAUAUCACAGGACAGGCAUUGGAUUCAGACCAAUCUCAAGGACUUGGGAGAUGCAGUCAGGAAAAGAAAUAAGAAAUAAGGAACAAGUGAGGUCUCUUGAUGGAGAGUAGCUGCAUUCACACAAUCAUGGGAUGCCCUGCACUGGGAGGAACCCACAAGGAUCAACAAGUUCAGCUCCUGAUCCUGCACAGGACAACCCCAACAAUCCCAGCACGUGUCUGAGGGUGUCACUACUCCAAGCUGUGCUGCCUACAACAAACCUCCAGUCCACCAGCUGGGUUCUCCUGAUGUCAUGUGGAUAUUCAGCUCCCUGCCACCCUACUUACACCAGGCAAUGGAGGCAUUUGCCUGUGUGAGUGGAGCAGAUGGAAAAACCACAGAGGAAGUCACGGUAGCUGAGUCUCCCCUCUCACCGUAC